GAUGAAGAACGUAGCGAAAUGCGAUAAGUAAUGCGAAUUGCAGAAUUCAGUGAAUCAUCGAAUCUUUGAACGCACAUUGCGCCCGCCAGUAUUCUGGCGGGCAUGCCUGUCUGAGCGUCGUUUCGACCCUCGCGCCCGGCUUCUGUCGGGGGCGGUGUUGGGGAUCGGCCACACCCUUCAGUGGGAGGCCGGCCCCUAAAUUCAGUGGCGACCACGCUGUAGCCUCCCCUGCGUAGUACUAAAACCACCUCGCAGGCGGAGAGCGGUGCGGCCCGCCGUAAAACCCCCCAACUUUACAAGGUCGACCUCAGAUCAGGUAGGAAUACCCGCUGAACUUAAGCAUAUCAAUAAGCGGAGGA
Molecule: unclassified non-coding RNA, 359 nt
Filed under: soil metagenome
Description: partial contains 5.8S ribosomal RNA, internal transcribed spacer 2, and large subunit ribosomal RNA
Rfam family: 5.8S ribosomal RNA (bases 1-120)
Source: RNAcentral